UAAUACGAAGGGUGCUAGCGUUGCUCGGAAUUACUGGGCGUAAAGCGUACGCAGGCGGGCUUUUAAGUCAGAUGUGAAAUCCCGAGGCUUAACCUCGGAACUGCAUUUGAAACUGGAAGCCUAGAGUAUGGGAGAGGAUAGUGGAAUUCCUAGUGUAGAGGUGAAAUUCGUAGAUAUUAGGAGGAACACCAGUGGCGAAGGCGACUAUCUGGACCAUAACUGACGCUCAUGUACGAAAGCGUGGGGAGCAAACAGG
Molecule: ribosomal RNA, 256 nt
Filed under: uncultured bacterium
Lineage: Bacteria
Description: partial 16S ribosomal RNA
Rfam family: Bacterial small subunit ribosomal RNA
Source: RNAcentral